Podarcis muralis (Common wall lizard) is the source of this 1584-nucleotide long non-coding RNA. NCBI's taxonomy places the organism in Eukaryota, Metazoa, Chordata, Lepidosauria, Squamata, Lacertidae. The record is from Ensembl.
AUGCAAAACUACUCUGUGAUUCAUCCUCCAGCAUCUCAGGCAGCAGCCAUGAGAGAAGGAGAAGGCCCCUCAGAGACCAAAUCCUCACAGGAGCCUUUUCUCUCCCACUUGCAGGGCGACAGAGGCGGCCCCCUCAUGUGCCGGGAGCAGAGGUCCGAACGCUACUGGGUGGUUGGAAUCGCCAGCUGGGGACCGUCUGUCUGCGGCCAGGGAAAAAGGCCGGGGGUCUACACCUCCACACAGUUCUACCGCGACUGGAUCAGGAAGAUGACCAAUGAGGACCUUUCACUACCCAACCACCCACCGCCAAUGGCACAGCCCCAGCUUAUGCGACUGCCACACCCCCCUCCAAGGCCACAGCUCCAAAUGCGACAAAAUGGGAAUGUGCCAUAUCCCAGGCCUUGGCCACCCCCCAACGCCAGCCCUCAGAUCCCUCCUGUGGUCUGGUCCACCACCAGACUUUGGCCACCCCCCAAUGCCACCCCUCAGAACCCUCCUGUGGUCUGGCCCACCACCAGACCAUGGCCACCCCCCACGACCACCCCCCAGACCCGUCCUGUGGUCUGGCCCACCACCAGACCAUGGCCACCCCCCAACAUUACCCCCCAGACCCCUCCUGUGGUCUGGCCCACCACCAGACCAUGGCCACCCCCCAAGGCCAUUCCCCAGACCCCUCCUGUGGUCUGGCCCACCACCAGACCUUGGCCACCCCCCACGACCACCCCCCAGACCCCUCCUGUGGUCUGGCCCACCACCAGACCAUGGCCACCCCCCAACACUACCCCCCAGACCCCUCCUGUGGUCUGGCCCACCACCAGACCAUGGCCACCCCCCAACACUACCCCCCAGACCCCUCCUGUGGUCUGGCCCACCACCAGACCUUGGCCACCCCCCACGACCACCCCCCAGACCCCUCCUGUGGUCUGGCCCACCACCAGACCUUGGCCACCCCCCACGACCACCCCCCAGACCCCUCCUGUGGUCUGGUCCACCACCAGACCUUGGCCACCCCCCACGACCACCCCCCAGACCCCUCCUGCGGUCUGGCCCACCACCGGACCAUGGCCACCCCCCACCACCACCACCCAGGCUCCUCCAGCAUCCUGGUACACGACCAGACCUUUGCCACCCCCUGAGACCACCCCUCAGACGCCUCCUGUGGUCUACCCCACAACCAGACCUUGGCCACCCCCCAGCACCACCCCCCAGACCCUUCCCAUGUCUCGGUCCACCCCCAGAGCCAACUCCCAUCCCACACGGUGGCCCAAAGGAGGGGGUCCCAGUCCCGUUAUAUCGGACAUGGCUCCUGGAACAAGGCCCACGGGACCGGGCAACUCGACUCCCUCCCGGGGCCCAAUCUGGGGCCUAACGUCCAUGCGGUUGGGAAGAUUGCAUCUGAGGACAAGGGCCCCAGCUUGGCAUGGGCAGAUUUACAGGCCGUGGGUCUCGAUUCGAAGGCCGUGGGUCACGAUUCGCACAGCCCCACCACAGAUUGAGUCGAGGUUGCUGAAGCCGCUGCAAAGGCAAGUUCCGGCACCACCCGGGAGCCAAAUGGAAGUGGCCCCUAGCUCAGCCGAGGGCUGA